AAUCUUCUACAAUGGGCGAAAGCCUGAUGGAGCAACGCUGCGUGAGUGAAGAAGGUGUUCGGAUCGUAAAACUCUGUUGUAAGGGAAGAACAAGUACAGUAGUAACUGGCUGUACCUUGACGGUACCUUAUUAGAAAGCCACGGCUAACUACGUGCCAGCCGCCGCGGUAAUACGUAGGUGGCAAGCGUUGUCCGGCAUUAUUGGGCGUAAAGCGCGCGCAGGCGGUCCUUUAAGUCUGAUGUGAGAGCCCACGGCUCAACCGUGGAGGGUCAUUGGAAACUGGGGGACUAGAGUGCAGAAGAGGAAGGUGGAAUUCCAAGUGUAGCGGUGAAAUGCGUAGAGAUUUGGAGGAACACCAGUGGCGAAGGCGACUUUCUGGUCUGUAACUGACGCUGAGGCGCGAAAGCGUGGGGAGCAAACA
Molecule: ribosomal RNA, 422 nt
Filed under: uncultured bacterium
Lineage: Bacteria
Description: partial 16S ribosomal RNA
Rfam family: Bacterial small subunit ribosomal RNA
Source: RNAcentral